This 232-nucleotide long non-coding RNA is filed under the name Lathyrus oleraceus (garden pea). Its description in RNAcentral is "Pisum sativum (pea) long non-coding RNA (PSAT_LNC011153)". The record is from RNAcentral. Lineage: Eukaryota; Viridiplantae; Streptophyta; Magnoliopsida; Fabales; Fabaceae.
UAUACAUAUACAUAUACAUAUACAUUCAAAAACUUCAUUAUUGCACCAUUACACCUCAUGAUUCAUUGUUGUUUUGACUCUCUGCUAUGGUGGUACUUUAUCCCCAUGCAGAUUCAAUGUGUAUGUCCUCCUUCAAUUGUAGAGUGUCAUCCCCUUAAGCAGAAAGACUUUGACCUUUCUCCUAUUCCCCACUGAGUUAUUUCCUCGUGGAUGAUUAUUAUUUCAGUUUCCU